CUUUCAUGAGUAGUAAAGCCUCAAGACCCUAGUGGGAAGACUCUGGCUCCAAAAAUGCAACAUGGCAGCUCCUAAAGUGGACAUUUUGSUUUCAAGUUUGGACAACGUCAAGGACUCAACACAAAGCUGCAAGCAGCUGGGAAAAAGAACCAGGGUGAUGAAUGAAUAGAGGCGAAGGGAUAAGAGCUGGUAGAAGGACACAAGCUGUCAGUCUGCUGCUCACCAUGUUGGCCUCACGCCUCAAGACACACACACGAAGCAUCAGCUGCUGAAAUAAAGCCACAUCCUCAGGAUCUCUACUGCCUCUGCCAGAGAACCAAUGUGUCACCAGUUUUGCUAUGAACCUCCACAGACUGCUUCCAUCUCUUUAUAUAGGAACUAGAAAAAUCAACAGUAACAUGUUGACACCUCCUGUUUCCUGGCAGCAAACUCCCAUACCAGGCUCUGAUUCACAGUUUGAGAAGACUUUAGUUUCUACAAAAUAAACUUGCUUAUAUUCGAACAUGUGUUUAACACACGUUGCCUGCAUUUAGAAACUUGGGGGUGUUUGAAUCCCUCCACUAAAGCCUCCAAGCUGUCCAACCUGUUGCAUACAGGUUAAUGUUUCUCUGUGGUGUGUUUGAGAGCGUAGCGUAGCCUUGGAUUCACACUGGAACCACAAUGCACCGGGGCAUCCGGCCCUUGGGCCGGAGAAGCUCCAAACCAGCAACUACUCCCU
Long non-coding RNA from Austrofundulus limnaeus, 718 nucleotides. RefSeq lists it as uncharacterized. NCBI's taxonomy places the organism in Eukaryota, Metazoa, Chordata, Actinopteri, Cyprinodontiformes, Rivulidae. The record is from RefSeq and is a predicted model, not a curated record. The transcript is spliced from 4 exons.